CCCAACCCAUUUUCAACUCAAUCAAGACCAGACCCCUUCUCUUUAACCAAACAGCCCUAAAGACAAACGAUCCUCUCCUCUCUGUCUUCCACCUCGCCGCCACCCCCCUUUACCCAUUAGACCAUCGGCUAAAGCCGAUUUCGGCGUCACUGACGCUGCCUCCCGUCAACCCCUGUCCCUUUCUCCCCUUUUCUUCAAGUGACAGAGCUUCGAACAGCUUGUCCAAAGUCGAAUCAGCCCCCAAAUCAAAAAGCACGCGAACAUCUUUGGGAUUCUGGACCGUUCUUCCAACAAUCAAUAGGGUAAAGGUUUUUUUCGGUCCAUGGAGCCUAAAACCAUGAAGAAUCCACUAAAUUCGGAGUCCCAACGAAUUUGUUGCCUUCAAAGCAAGGGUUGCUUGAAGCGGAUUCGGAGACUCGACGACGACAUUAGCCUCAGUUCGCUGUCCCGGAGAAGGUAAUCACAUUCGUCCUCCCUUCGUCUUUAAUUUUGUAGAAGUCAAAAUGUAGUCGUUUCGUUGUUUUGUCGUUCUCAGCAUUCCUUGGAGUUUGCUUGGCCGAAUCUGCCUAUACUUUAUCUGCUAUAAACAAACAUGAAAUAGUCAUGGCAAUCUAUUAGCGUUUAAAGAGAAUGAUCGUUGAACUUGCUGAAUAUAUGAGUAGUAGUGUCGCUUGUCUAAAAAACCUGUUUGUGGCAUCCCUUAUGGGUCUGUUUUAUCAUGUAAAAUCAGGAUGUAAAAUGGCUAAAAUAAAUCUUGAGUCUCAAAAACAAAAUGUCCUGAUUUGUUGGUAGUUAAUACUAGUCUACAUAUGGGUUCAAAUAAUCAUUUUGUUUCCGUUGGUUUGAAUCUGUCCACAUCCCGUAAUCUUUUUUUUUUUUUACCAUUAAGGCUGUAGCUAUAGACAGCUUGGAUCAUGUUUUAUCUUUCAUUCAUGUCUUCAAAACCAGUUCUAGUAUGGAUCAAUAUUAAGUUGUUCGUGUCAAAUAGCUAUUUUCCUACUUUCAUUUGGACAUGAGCAUGAAACUUUAUUUGUUUGAGGGCAUUGAAAAGUUAGCAUUGUCCCUGUUGUAGUUAGCUUAAAUAAAAUGGUUGAUAACAUAGCUGCUGCUAAUACGAUUUCCUAAAGCUCUACCAUAAAAUCCAUUUAGACCUUAUGACUAAAAAUAUCAUGCCGUGACUCCGUCUAGAGACCUAUAUGUGAAUAUAUGAUGCCUUAUAACUGAAAAGAACAGGUUAUUAAGUUUGAUCAAAUGAAAGGGUGAUAUUUUGUUCGAGAGAAAAAGUUAUUAUUUUUAAGGAAAGUUUACUGUUUUGAUAUAAAAAGAAAGCUACUGUUUUUUUUAACUAAAAAGCUACUGUUUUCAGGUUAAAAAGUUACUGUUUUGGUUGGGGAGAAUUACUGGUUUAAAAUAAUAAUAAUAAUAAUCUAAAAAUUGUUUGCUUGUCGAUUUACUUGUGUGAAUGAAACACCAGUACUAGAAUAUAGUAACUAUCUUGGUGUUCUUAUGAGUUGAUGAUGCGAACUUGCCUAAAGGCAAAAUUUUCAAAGAUUUGUGAGAACUUACGCUGUUUUUAUUUGAAAAGUAUAGGAGAUAACAUGAAGUACUAUAUCUUUUAUAAGCUUUGUUUUACGAACUGAACUGGCUUCUUGCUAAAAAUAAAAAAAAUCGGUUAUUUUGCCUCUAUUUUUUAUGAGUCAGUUUAUAAAAGGCUAACAUAGACUAUGGGCUUGUUAUGAUAAAUAAGUGAUUCGCUAGAAUAAAAAGAAGAAGAAAAUAGCUGUGUAUUAUUGAACUUGGGACUGUUUACUCUUUUGAGAAUGCAUGAGAUAAGUUGAAGUAUAAAAUUGUCUUAAGUCAAACCCAGCUGUGACUUGGAUCUGCUCUUGAACUAUCUCCCCUAAAGUUGCUAAAAUGCCAGGAGUAUGUAUUUGUCGUCUAACUGUUUAAAAAAUGAGGAUGUUUGGUUAAGUUGUAAUGCUGGGAAUGCUCAAGAUUACUUAACUUGCUAACUUAUAAAUGUUGAGAGUCUAGUAAUCAUGACUACCUAUUUGUUUUCUUGAAGUAUGAUAUGUAGUUUUCAGCAGUAAGUUGCCAAGGUUUCUCCCUAAGUUUGAUUUAAGUGUGGGUUGUUCAUACUUUUCUUUCUCGGACAAGCCGCUUGAAUUAAUUGAGUAACGUGUACGAGAAUCAGCCCAUGCAUGAAAACUUUUCAGUUGUACUUUUCUCAGAGACAGUCCUUAAGUCAAUUUGUCAUGUUCUUAAUUGAAUCCACCUCUUGGAAGGUUAGUAAGGGCCUUGUUUGUUGGUAAAAUUGGAUAAAAAUAAGGGAAAUAGUGGCAUAUUGUAUUCUGGUGAACAGUAGAAGUUGAGAAAUAAUGAUUGACGUAAUUAUUCUCGUGAGUAUGUUGUACACUUUGCCUUAAAAAAAAAAUAUUGACAGGGUGUGUUGAAUUGUAUGAAGGCUGUUGGCAUUGGUUGAAAGUGUUGUUUAAGCUUAACAUGUAAUUCUGUGUUAAAAUCUCUGUUCUAAAGAGUAAUCAUCCAUGUAGUUAAUUGAAGAAAGGAACAGCAUGUAAUACGGUUCUGUCUAUAUUAUGUAUAGAAAUUAGUGGCUUUGUGGGAUACAUUAAAGUAUGUUUUGUUCUCAUCUAAGCCAUUGGUUAAUCUAUUAGUUUGACAAUGCUUAACAUACCUUUACUAAUUCACAAAGGAGUGAAAGUUGUGUUUGAGUUGUCCAACUUUUAGGGAUGCCUUAGAACCUGAUCUCCUUCUUUGGUUCUAAUUCUUGCUUGCACUAUCGCAUACGGAGAUUUCUAUUUAAGCUAAGUGAUGAUGUCAAGUACAUGCUAAGUUAAUGUGAUUACACCGUUCAUUUGUGGCUGUCGCUUCGCCCCCUUUGUUUGAACAAUUAGAAUUUACCUGAAGUAUUAUGGGUUAAAACUAGUUGUGUGUCCAGUUUUUUCUUCUAUAAUGAUUUAUGUCAUACUAUGGGAAUGAUAUGCAUAUCUUAAAACCUCUAUCCUUCACAUGAAUAGUCAAGCAUCUACCUGCAAAAAUGGGCUAAAAAGUCAAUCAGUCUUUUCAUACUUAGAUAUAUUAAACUGCCAUUUGAACUCGUGUGUUUGAAUUAAUGGGACAGAUACAGUUUGGGUUUUGCUAAUAUAGUAUGAUGGUUGUGUGCACUGUUCUUCUAUGGCGUCACGGCAGUGUUAUUUCUCCUUCUUUUUUUUUUUGAAUAAAAUAAAAUAAAAAAUGAUUGUGUAUAUAUGUAGCAUUUCAAGUGUACACUGUGCGCUAUUGCAUAAUUUGAAUUUACGUAUUUAAAUUGAGAUUGUUUCUAAUCCUUAUCUUUAUCUUUGUUUUUUUUUUUUUAUGAGGAACCUUGGGAGCAGUUGGAGUUAUGAAAACUCUAGAAAACUCUAGACCCUUCUGCCCAUAUCAGAGAAGGCAACAGUAGCAGCCUAUGUCUCGUUCAUUAAUGUGUACCAGUCUCAAUUCCUCAUUCGUGUCAAGAGUCUCCGUCCUCCUUCCUCUCUUCGAACUUUAUGUCUUUGCGUAAACUUGUGUAUAUUCAUGUUGUUUAUAUUUUUGACUAACAUUUUAUGGAUUGUGUUUGUAGCAUAUUUGUGUCUUUGCUUGUGUAUGAACUUGCGGAGAAAUAGUUAAGUAUAGAAAUUUAAUCGUUUAUUUUUCU
This is a long non-coding RNA of Lycium barbarum (goji berry), 3697 nucleotides long. RefSeq lists it as uncharacterized. The transcript has 2 exons. NCBI's taxonomy places the organism in Eukaryota, Viridiplantae, Streptophyta, Magnoliopsida, Solanales, Solanaceae. The record is from RefSeq and is a predicted model, not a curated record.